AACGAACGCUGGCGGCAGGCCUAACACAUGCAAGUCGAACGAGUAAGAGCCGUAGCAAUACGGAGUUCUGCUAGUGGCGCACGGGUGAGUAACGCGUGGGAACGUGCCUUGGAGUUCGGGAUAACAGUUGGAAGCGACUGCUAAUACCGAAUAUUCCCUCAGGGGGAAAGAUUUAUCGCUCCAAGAUCGGCCCGCGUAAGAUUAGGUAGUUGGUGGGGUAAUGGCCUACCAAGCCUACGAUCUUUAGCUGGUCUGAGAGGACGACCAGCCACACUGGAACUGAGACACGGUCCAGACUCCUACGGGAGGCAGCAGUGGGGAAUAUUGGACAAUGGGCGAAAGCCUGAUCCAGCCAUGCCGCGUGAAUGAUGAAGGCCUUAGGUUGUAAAAUUCUUUUGUCAGGGGAAGAUAAUGACGGUACCCUGCGAAUAAGCUCCGGCUAACUUCGUGCCAGCAGCCGCGGUAAU
Molecule: ribosomal RNA, 467 nt
Filed under: uncultured bacterium
Lineage: Bacteria
Description: bacterial SSU rRNA
Rfam family: Bacterial small subunit ribosomal RNA
Source: RNAcentral